This 826-nucleotide ribosomal RNA is filed under the name Albifimbria terrestris. RNAcentral describes it as "eukaryotic LSU rRNA". It matches the Rfam family "Eukaryotic large subunit ribosomal RNA", at positions 74 to 935 of the family's 3401-position model. The record is from RNAcentral. Lineage: Eukaryota; Fungi; Ascomycota; Sordariomycetes; Hypocreales; Stachybotryaceae.
AUUGCCUCAGUAACGGCGAGUGAAGCGGCAACAGCUCAAAUUUGAAAUCUGGCCCUAGGCCCGAGUUGUAAUUUGCAGAGGAUGCUUUUGGCAAGGUGCCUUCCGAGUUCCCUGGAACGGGACGCCAUAGAGGGUGAGAGCCCCGUCUGGUCGGACACCGAGCCUCUGUAAAGCUCCUUCGACGAGUCGAGUAGUUUGGGAAUGCUGCUCAAAAUGGGAGGUAUAUGUCUUCUAAAGCUAAAUACCGGCCAGAGACCGAUAGCGCACAAGUAGAGUGAUCGAAAGAUGAAAAGCACUUUGAAAAGAGAGUUAAAUAGCACGUGAAAUUGUUGAAAGGGAAGCGUUUAUGACCAGACUUGGCCCGGUUGAUCAUCCACCCUUCUGGGUGGUGCACUCUGCCGGUCCAGGCCAGCAUCAGUUCGCUCCGGGGGAUAAAGGUUUCGGGAAUGUAGCUCCUCCGGGAGUGUUAUAGCCCGUUGCGUAAUACCCUGGGGUGGACUGAGGUCCGCGCUCUGCAAGGAUGCUGGCGUAAUGGUCAUCAACGACCCGUCUUGAAACACGGACCAAGGAGUCGUCUUCGUAUGCGAGUGUUCGGGUGUAAAACCCCUACGCGUAAUGAAAGUGAACGCAGGUGAGAGCUUCGGCGCAUCAUCGACCGAUCCUGAUGUUCUCGGAUGGAUUUGAGUAAGAGCAUACGGGGCCGGACCCGAAAGAAGGUGAACUAUGCCUGUAUAGGGUGAAGCCAGAGGAAACUCUGGUGGAGGCUCGCAGCGGUUCUGACGUGCAAAUCGAUCGUCAACUAUGGGCAUGGGGGCGAAAGACUAAU